Molecule: long non-coding RNA, 1974 nt
Organism: Onychomys torridus (southern grasshopper mouse)
Lineage: Eukaryota; Metazoa; Chordata; Mammalia; Rodentia; Cricetidae
Exons: 2
Source: RefSeq, a predicted model, not a curated record
CACACGCACACGCCUUAGCACACGCACACACGCGCGCACGCACACUGCUCCUAGCAGCGCCUCUCGCCAGACCGUGGGGCGACGUCCCCCUCGGAGGGGCGGCGGCCCUGCCCCGCCCGAAGCAGCCCCGCAAAGGGACAGAGAGUCACUGGGGGUUCUGGAGCGCGUGGGCCGCGAUCGAAGACGCACGGCGGCAGGUGGCAGCAGGGGCUUCUCAGUGGAGGGCGUGUAGCGGCGGGAGGGGACAGCGUGGGUCUGGAAAGGGAGUGGUGCAGACCUUGGUAGCUCUUUCCCGCUGUCACGGGGAACUCGCCUUGGAGAGGGCACUCGCAUUGCCAGGUUGGGGCUGUCCGCGCGCGCGCAUGGGGACCCGGCUGGCAGGAGGGCAGCUGAGGGACCCUACGCCGCCGCGGGGCACGAGCGCGGGCCCUCUCCCAGCACGCCUGCAGAGGGCGCCCUCACGGUGGCGCCCCGCGGGGCCAGGCGGCCAUCCCCAGAGCAGCAAGGUUAGGUCCUUACGAAAGGGUAGGAAUGGUUCGAUCACUCUAGUCACCAUCUUGGGCCGUGAGACCCAGCAGUCAGCAAUCAUCCCCGCUACCGGAAGACGCCAGGGUGCAGGAUGCAAAGGGAGAUAGCCUGAUGGCCAAGUAGUUCUGCGGGGCCAUAUCAUCAUUGCCUCCACAACAGAGAUCGGCGCACUAUGGUUGUGCAGCUCCUUGACCCCAAGGUACAUCCACAGCGCCCACCCGCGGCCCCAAAGCACCUGGAGAGCACGUCUUAGGGGUUAACCAGCCACACCAACCUGAGACGCCCUGCAGCUGCCAAAACCCGGACCCGAAGCCCAGAACGUGGGACCCAAUUCAGUGGUUUUCCUCAUCCAUCCAACCAUGCAUCCAUCCAUCAUUGCAUGCUUGCAUGCAUGCAUGCAUGCAUACCAUACAAAUCGGUGGACAGAAGCGCGGAGAGUUCUUUGCCCAGCUAUGGGCUGAGAACGGGCGCCCCCUUUGCAGCUCUUUCGCCUCCUGCUCACCCAAGACCCCCUCCGCAAGGGAGAACAGCUCAAUUACGAAAGGAGCAAAGAAACGAAAUACUGGGCUCAAACGCCCUGCCCACAGGAGCUUCUCCGGUCCCCCCCUUUCUGCUGCACGUUCCCCACCCCCACUGUCCCCAGCUCAGGGGCGGGCGGGGAGACGGCGGUGCGAGGGGUCCUGCCCAGCUCCGCGUGAACAAAGCCCGCCGCGGGAGCUCGUGGCCGCGCUCAGAGCGGGUGACAAAGGCAGGCAGGCGGUGCCAAGCUCCAAGGCAGCGCUCGGAUGGCCAGGCGGGAAGCAGGCCCCGAAGAUGGGUGGUGCGAUUUGCACCCAGAUUUUUCUGGACUUCCGUGUUUCUCUCCUGGGUGCCCAGAGACCUGUUGGGUGACUCAGCGUUUAUCUCUCUGGUCCUGCAACCUCACCAGCCUCCCACUUGUCUUAUGCCUGCCCCAGUUUCGUCCAUCUCGCCCGGCUUUUUUCUCCACCGCACUCCUUUCACCCUUCUUGCUUUGAGGGUUAGGCUUUCCCCCCUUUUCUUUUCCGUGGUAAAAGCAACGAUAACUGGACUUCUGCAGACUUCCCUGUGUUCAAAUAACAUUCUGAAAGACCUUUCUGGUUAUUUGCUGGCAAAAAUGUGUGUGGGGGGGAGCCUUUUGAUUUUAUUAUGCAAACUGCACUCUAAAUAAAAUAAAAUGCCCUUAGAAUGCGAUCUAAGAAAGACAGACUUAGCCCUGAGGCCGAACAGAUUCCUGCUGAAUUCGGCAAGUAUCCCUGUCGGCUCCCACAAAUCACAUAAAUGGCAGGGGGCGGGGGUAGGGCAGAAUGGGAGAUCGAGUCUCUGGGGCAAACCUUUCUGGAAAAAAAGUUCUAAUCUUGCUUUCUAAUCCUGAAUGGGAAUUGCUGCCAAGACUCUACCAAUAAAAUCGUACGUUUUUUUUUUUAA